Molecule: small nuclear RNA, 106 nt
Organism: Trichechus manatus latirostris (Florida manatee)
Lineage: Eukaryota; Metazoa; Chordata; Mammalia; Sirenia; Trichechidae
Source: RefSeq, a predicted model, not a curated record
CUGCUCCCUUCGGAGCACAUAUAUCAAAAUUAGAGCAAUAUAGAUGGGAUUAGCAUGACUCCUACCCAAAAAUGGUAUGAAAAUUACUAAAGCAUUCCACAUUUUU